This 308-nucleotide unclassified non-coding RNA is filed under the name Zea mays. RNAcentral's name for it is "misc RNA Zm00001eb017090". The record is from RNAcentral. Lineage: Eukaryota; Viridiplantae; Streptophyta; Magnoliopsida; Poales; Poaceae.
UGGCAGUGCAACUGCAAGUGAUUCUGUUCCUCCCGUGACCUCAAAUGUUGAUAGCACAGGCCCGCGUCGGCAUUAUCAGCUGCUGCAGACUCAAAAAGCCUUGCUGAAAAGGCUAUUGCAGCACUCCCUCCUGAGCUUAGUGCACAAGCAACUGACCCAAAAAGAAAGGCAAGGUCACAGGACCCAGGAUGGAAGUUUGAGUGGUGGCCAGACACAACAAAGAAGGAUUUUGUUCAGUGUAUUUUCUGUUCGAAGAUUGUUCCUUCCGGAAUCAAAAGGUUCAAGCAGCAUCUUGCCGGUGGGUUUGG